Molecule: long non-coding RNA, 424 nt
Organism: Trichechus manatus latirostris (Florida manatee)
Lineage: Eukaryota; Metazoa; Chordata; Mammalia; Sirenia; Trichechidae
Exons: 3
Source: RefSeq, a predicted model, not a curated record
CCAGCUGGAGUUUCAGCACUCUGCUCUCGGUGCCAUCUCUGCUUCUCCUCGGAGGCUUUAAGACUCCAAUCAAGCAGCAACUCUAAUCUAUUCUGCCUCUACCUUACAUUUUCCAGAUGAAGCAACUGAAGCCCAGAGAGGUCAGGUAACUUCCUGGAGCCAUGAGACAAUCCAGGCCAGAGAGCCCUCUAUCUCCUCACCAACUGCCUCGCCAGCCAGCACCUGCAGCAGGGGACAGUCUCUGCCAGAGGAAGGGAAGAAGAGAGAUGUCUGGUGAUGGGGGAAAGAAACUGGCCAGAAUCACACUCUUAUGGAAGAGCUGACUAUAUCUAGUAAAUGUUGUAUACCAAAGAACAGAUUAGUAACCUUGUAUAUAUCCUUAUUGUAUCAUCAUUAUUAUUUUUUAAUUACUAUGUUUACACCA